GAUGAAGAACGUAGCGAAUUGCGAUAAGUAAUGUGAAUUGCAGAAUUCAGUGAAUCAUCGAAUCUUUGAACGCAUCUUGCGCUCCUUGGUAUUCUGAGGAGCAUGCCUGUUUGAGUGUCAUUAAAUUCUCAACUACACUGACUUUGAAUUGGUGUGGCUUGGAUUUGGGGGGAAAAUUGUUGUGGGCUUUUUGUAUAGUCUGCUCCCCUGAAAUUGAUUAGCGGUACCUUUGUGGAACUGUCUACAGGUGUGAUAAUUAUCUACAUCUUAGACAUCUGCUGGAAUGCUGCUUUCUAAACCUUACUUGUAUUGACAAUCUUGACCUCAAAUCAGGUAGGACUACCCGCUGAACUUAAGCAUAUCAAUAAGCGGAGGA
Molecule: unclassified non-coding RNA, 376 nt
Filed under: soil metagenome
Description: partial contains 5.8S ribosomal RNA, internal transcribed spacer 2, and large subunit ribosomal RNA
Rfam family: 5.8S ribosomal RNA (bases 1-120)
Source: RNAcentral